This is a long non-coding RNA of Podarcis raffonei (Aeolian wall lizard), 769 nucleotides long. RefSeq lists it as uncharacterized. The transcript is spliced from 3 exons. Lineage: Eukaryota; Metazoa; Chordata; Lepidosauria; Squamata; Lacertidae. The record is from RefSeq and is a predicted model, not a curated record.
UGGCUUUAGGUAGUUAGUGAAAGUGCCCUUAUCUUUUCGGUGCUUAGUAACUGUGCCAGGGUAUCUUGGGUUAUAUGUUAUAAAUAGAGAGAAGGCCCGCUAACACUAUUGUUUGCUUUUGCUGCUCAGUAGGAGAGUACUUUGGAGGCAACAAUCUUCUGUAAGAGAACAGUCCCCUGGAAGAAUCCUCUUAUCUGAAGAGCUGUCCGGUCCGAGGCUUAUAUUAAGAUAAUGAAACCUAAGAAGGAGAGUGUUGACGUUUCCCAUCAGUAGACAGGCUGCUUGCCAGAGGACGUGAGAAACUGAGCAGACUUGGCCAGAAGCUCUUAUGAAAGAAGAGCGUUUUCUCAUGAUGGAUAUGCUGAGAAAGACCUCUUUGCCCCAGAAAGCAACCUAGAGGAAGCAGGGGGCAAGAUAAGCAGCUGGAGUUUCCAGGCUGUUUCCUGAGGCCAACCAAUUUCCAUCUUGCCUGGGCUUUCACCUCCUCUUCUAGCUGAGGAUUGCAAUGGACGAAGAUAAUAUUUCUCUUCUUUUCAUUGUUUAUACAGUGGUACCUUGGGUUAAGAACUUAAUUCGUUCUGGAGGUCCAUUCUUAACCUGAAACUGUUCUUAACCUGAAGCACUACUUUAGCUAAUGGGGCCUCCCGCUGCUGCCGCACCGCUGCUGCACGAUUUCUGUUCUCAUCCUGAAGCAAAGUUCUUAACCCGAGGUAAUAUUUCUGGGUUAGUGGAGUCUGUAACCUGAAGCAUCUGUAACCUGAAGCAUAUG